RNAcentral lists this ribosomal RNA (464 nucleotides) under uncultured bacterium. RNAcentral describes it as "partial 16S ribosomal RNA". It matches the Rfam family "Bacterial small subunit ribosomal RNA", at positions 339 to 795 of the family's 1533-position model. The record is from RNAcentral.
CUACGGGGCGCUGCAGUCGAGAAUCUUUUGCAAUGCGGGAAACCGUGACAAUGCGACGCCGCGUGAGCGAUGAAGCCCUUCGGGGUGUAAAGCUCUGUCAGCCCGGAUGAAUAUUCAUCCUAAAAUAUAGGAUGGAGAUGACAGUACGGGCAGAGGAAGCCACGGCUAACUCCGUGCCAGCAGCCGCGGUAAUACGGAGGUGGCAAGCGUUGUUCGGAUUCAUUGGGUGUAAAGGGUAUGUAGGUGUCCCUAUAAGUCGAAUGUGAAAUCCCUUGGCUUAACCAAGGAACUGCACUCGAUACUGCAGGGAUUGAGUAUGGAAGAGGAGAGUGGAAUUCCCGGUGUAAGGGUGAAAUCUGUAGAUAUCGGGAGGAACACCAGUGGCGAAAGCGGCUCUCUGGUCCAAUACUGACACUGAAAUACGAAAGCUAGGGGAGCAAACAGGAUUAGAUACCCCGGUAGUC